RNAcentral lists this ribosomal RNA (335 nucleotides) under Enterococcus faecalis. RNAcentral's name for it is "bacterial SSU rRNA". It matches the Rfam family "Bacterial small subunit ribosomal RNA", at positions 1 to 314 of the family's 1533-position model. The record is from RNAcentral. Lineage: Bacteria; Bacillati; Bacillota; Bacilli; Lactobacillales; Enterococcaceae.
UAUUAUGAGAGUUUGAUCCUGGCUCAGGACGAACGCUGGCGGCGUGCCUAAUACAUGCAAGUCGAACGCUUCUUUCCUCCCGAGUGCUUGCACUCAAUUGGAAAGAGGAGUGGCGGACGGGUGAGUAACACGUGGGUAACCUACCCAUCAGAGGGGGAUAACACUUGGAAACAGGUGCUAAUACCGCAUAACAGUUUAUGCCGCAUGGCAUAAGAGUGAAAGGCGCUUUCGGGUGUCGCUGAUGGAUGGACCCGCGGUGCAUUAGCUAGUUGGUGAGGUAACGGCUCACCAAGGCCACGAUGCAUAGCCGACCUGAGAGGGUGAUCGGCCACACU